RNAcentral lists this ribosomal RNA (253 nucleotides) under uncultured bacterium. Its description in RNAcentral is "partial 16S ribosomal RNA". It matches the Rfam family "Bacterial small subunit ribosomal RNA", at positions 524 to 776 of the family's 1533-position model. The record is from RNAcentral.
UACGGAGGGUGCGAGCGUUGUCCGGAAUCACUGGGCGUAAAGGGCGCGUAGGUGGCGCGGUCAGUCAACGGUGAAAGUUCGGGGCUCAACCCUGAAUCGGCCGUCGAUACUCCCGUGCUUGAGCACUGUAGAGGCAGAUGGAAUUCCGGGUGUAGCGGUGGAAUGCGUAGAGAUCCGGAAGAACACCGGUGGCGAAGGCGGUCUGCUGGGCAGUAGCUGACACUGAGGCGCGACAGCGUGGGGAGCAAACAGG